Molecule: long non-coding RNA, 176 nt
Filed under: Sitophilus oryzae (rice weevil)
Lineage: Eukaryota; Metazoa; Arthropoda; Insecta; Coleoptera; Curculionidae
Description: uncharacterized LOC115874250
Source: RNAcentral
CAAUGAAAAAAAAGCGAAGAAAGAAAAGUAACCCAAAACUUUUCAAAGCUCCUAAUGAUGACUAGGAUCCUAGCAUCGACAAAGAAGAAAGACAUCCUAACUUGCUACAGCAUUGGCAAAGGGCAGUUCCCCAGACAAAAUACUUCGCAGUAGUGAUGUGUUUUAUGCACUUAUUU